Molecule: ribosomal RNA, 253 nt
Filed under: uncultured bacterium
Lineage: Bacteria
Description: partial 16S ribosomal RNA
Rfam family: Bacterial small subunit ribosomal RNA
Source: RNAcentral
UACGUAGGGCGCAAGCGUUAUCCGGAAUUAUUGGGCGUAAAGAGCUCGUAGGCGGUUUGUCGCGUCUGCCGUGAAAGUCCGGGGCUCAACUCCGGAUCUGCGGUGGGUACGGGCAGACUAGAGUGAUGUAGGGGAGACUGGAAUUCCUGGUGUAGCGGUGAAAUGCGCAGAUAUCAGGAAGAACACCCGUGGCGAAGGCGGUUCUCUGGGACGGUACUGACGCUGAGACGCGAAAGCGUGGGGAGCGAACAGG